Long non-coding RNA from Syngnathus acus (greater pipefish), 424 nucleotides. RefSeq lists it as uncharacterized. NCBI's taxonomy places the organism in Eukaryota, Metazoa, Chordata, Actinopteri, Syngnathiformes, Syngnathidae. The transcript is spliced from 2 exons. The record is from RefSeq and is a predicted model, not a curated record.
AUUUCAAGCUUCCAGUGCUGACUGUGAAAGAGGAUUUAGUUUAAUGAAUCAUAUCAAAACAAAAUCCAGAAAUCGUCUUGAAGUGACACAUUUGGACCAGCUGAUGCGCAUAAAGUCAAAGCAAGAAGCAGACGAAGCCAUCAACCUGGACAAAGUGUACAACCAUUGGAGAAGUGAGAAGGACAGACGUGAAAAAUAAGAACAGGACCCUCAGCCAGGCCAAAGCAGGACUCUUCCCAUGGCCAAAGCAGGACUCUACCCAUGGCCAAAGCAGGACUCUUCCUAUGGCCAAAGCAGGACUCUUCCCAUGGCCAAAGCAGGACUCUCACAUACUGUAUAACAUCUACACAUCCCAUUUUUCAGAUUUUUGUCUUUUUUUAAGUGGACCAAAUUACUUAUUUAAAAAUAAAGCGUGCAUAUCUGA